UACGUAGGGAGCAAGCGUUGUUCGGAAUUACUGGGCGUAAAGAGAACGUAGGCGGGGGAGUAAGUUAGAAGUGAAAUGCAUCGGCUUAACCGGUGACCUGCUUUUAAUACUGCUUCUCUUGAGUAUGGGAGAGGAAGAUGGAAUUCCAGGUGUAGCGGUGGAAUGCGUAGAUAUCUGGAAGAACACCAGUUGCGAAGGCGGUCUUCUGGCCCAAUACUGACGCUGAGGUUCGAAAGCUAGGGGAGCGAACAGGAUUAGAUACCCCCGUA
RNAcentral lists this ribosomal RNA (269 nucleotides) under uncultured prokaryote. RNAcentral's name for it is "partial 16S ribosomal RNA". It matches the Rfam family "Bacterial small subunit ribosomal RNA", at positions 524 to 792 of the family's 1533-position model. The record is from RNAcentral.